RNAcentral lists this ribosomal RNA (194 nucleotides) under Klebsiella pneumoniae. RNAcentral's name for it is "partial 16S ribosomal RNA". It matches the Rfam family "Bacterial small subunit ribosomal RNA", at positions 1 to 187 of the family's 1533-position model. Lineage: Bacteria; Pseudomonadati; Pseudomonadota; Gammaproteobacteria; Enterobacterales; Enterobacteriaceae. The record is from RNAcentral.
ACUUAAAUUGAAGAGUUUGAUCAUGGCUCAGAUUGAACGCUGGCGGCAGGCCUAACACAUGCAAGUCGAGCGGUAGCACAGAGAGCUUGCUCUCGGGUGACGAGCGGCGGACGGGUGAGUAAUGUCUGGGAAACUGCCUGAUGGAGGGGAUAACUACUGGAAACGGUAGCUAAUACCGCAUAAUGUCGCAAGAC